Molecule: ribosomal RNA, 301 nt
Filed under: uncultured bacterium
Lineage: Bacteria
Description: partial 16S ribosomal RNA
Rfam family: Bacterial small subunit ribosomal RNA
Source: RNAcentral
CAGCAGCCGCGGGAAAACGUAGGGUGCAAGCGUUAAUCGGAAUUACUGGGCGUAAAGCGUGCGCAGGCGGUUCUAUAAGACAGAUGUGAAAUCCCCGGGCUCAACCUGGGAACUGCAUUUGUGACUGUAGAGCUGGAGUGCGGCAGAGGGGGAUGGAAUUCCGCGUGUAGCAGUGAAAUGCGUAGAUAUGCGGAGGAACACCGAUGGCGAAGGCAAUCCCCUGGGCCUGCACUGGCGCUCAUGCACGAAAGCGUGGGGAGCAAACAGGAUUAGAUACCCCUGUAGUCCCUGUCUCUUAUAC